RNAcentral lists this transfer-messenger RNA (349 nucleotides) under Spirochaetia bacterium. It matches the Rfam family "transfer-messenger RNA". From Rfam's summary of the family: Bacterial tmRNA, also known as 10Sa RNA or SsrA, is named for its dual tRNA and mRNA-like properties. Its role is to liberate the mRNA from a stalled ribosome. To accomplish this part of the tmRNA is used as a reading frame that ends in a translation stop signal. Lineage: Bacteria; Pseudomonadati; Spirochaetota; Spirochaetia. The record is from RNAcentral.
GGGGGUGCACCGGUUUCGACUGUUACGGUUCGAGGUACAUGUUGCAGGUGGAGUGCCGAUCUCCUGAUUCGGCAAAACUUAUAAUUGCCAACAACAAUUAUGAUUACGCUCUCGCUGCGUAAGCAGUAGGGCGCGGGAACCGGCUCCGCCGCUUUGAGGAUCCGGACCUUCCGACGCAAUCAAGGCUGGAUCUAUGGUGUGUCCGGGCAUCAUAGGUCGAGAAAUUCCGGAAUACGGACAUUCAGCGUGCCGUGAAGCUAAGAGUGUCCCGACAAUAACGAUCACGGCUAAAUCUGUAGACGCGUGUGCAUCGCGUAGUAGGACGCGGGUUCGACUCCCGCCACCUCCA